UACAGAGGGUGCGAGCGUUAAUCGGAUUUACUGGGCGUAAAGGGCGCGUAGGUGGUAAAGCAAGUAAGAUGUGAAAGCCCUGGGCUUAACAUAGGAAGUGCAUCUUAAACUGCUUAACUAGAGUAUGGUAGAGGGUAGUGGAAUUUCCGGUGUAGCGGUGAAAUGCGUAGAGAUCGGAAGGAACGCCAGUGGUGAAGACGACUACCUGGACCAAUACUGACACUGAGGCGCGAAAGCGUGGGGAUCAAACAGG
This 253-nucleotide ribosomal RNA is filed under the name uncultured bacterium. RNAcentral describes it as "partial 16S ribosomal RNA". It matches the Rfam family "Bacterial small subunit ribosomal RNA", at positions 524 to 776 of the family's 1533-position model. The record is from RNAcentral.